GUUAAAAUAAUUUAUAUAAAAUAUUGGUUUUGUAAACCAAAAUUGGAUACUCCUUUUAAUA
This 61-nucleotide transfer RNA is filed under the name Haemaphysalis kitaokai. RNAcentral's name for it is "tRNA-Thr". Lineage: Eukaryota; Metazoa; Arthropoda; Arachnida; Ixodida; Ixodidae. The record is from RNAcentral.